UCAGAUCUACGCAAUAAACAUCGAAAAAGUAAAGAUUGACACUUUUUCAUCAAAACUCUCAAGAACACAAAGUUCUUGAGUUUAAUCCAUUAGAAAGCUCGUUUUAACCAUUAUUUCCGUUCAUUAAUCAUGUUACAAGCAUGUUAAACAUAUUAAGAACCUUAGGAACGAUUUCCAUCAAGAAAAUCCAUUCCAAUCUAAAACGAAAAUGGGG
This 214-nucleotide long non-coding RNA is filed under the name Trifolium pratense (red clover). Its description in RNAcentral is "long non-coding RNA (TPRA_LNC006629)". Lineage: Eukaryota; Viridiplantae; Streptophyta; Magnoliopsida; Fabales; Fabaceae. The record is from RNAcentral.